RNAcentral lists this ribosomal RNA (561 nucleotides) under uncultured Alphaproteobacteria bacterium. RNAcentral describes it as "bacterial SSU rRNA". It matches the Rfam family "Bacterial small subunit ribosomal RNA", at positions 338 to 916 of the family's 1533-position model. The record is from RNAcentral. Lineage: Bacteria; Pseudomonadati; Pseudomonadota; Alphaproteobacteria.
CCUACGGGAGGCAGCAGUGGGGAAUCUUAGACAAUGGGCGCAAGCCUGAUCUAGCCAUGCCGCGUGAGUGAUGAAGGCCCUAGGGUCGUAAAGCUCUUUCCAACUGUGAAGAUAAUGACGGUAGCAGUAGAAGAAACCCCGGCUAACUCCGUGCCAGCAGCCGCGGUAAUACGGAGGGGGUUAGCGUUGUUCGGAAUUACUGGGCGUAAAGCGUACGUAGGCGGAUUAAUAAGUUAGAGGUGAAAUCCCAGGGCUCAACCCUGGAACUGCCUUUAAAACUGUUAGUCUUGAGAUCGAGAGAGGUGAGUGGAAUUCCAAGUGUAGAGGUGAAAUUCGUAGAUAUUUGGAGGAACACCAGUGGCGAAGGCGGCUCACUGGCUCGAUACUGACGCUGAGGUACGAAAGUGUGGGGAGCAAACAGGAUUAGAUACCCUGGUAGUCCACACCGUAAACGAUGAAUGCCAGACGUCAGCAAGCAUGCUUGUUGGUGUCACACCUAACGGAUUAAGCAUUCCGCCUGGGGAGUACGGUCGCAAGAUUAAAACUCAAAUGAAUUGACGG